Molecule: ribosomal RNA, 727 nt
Filed under: uncultured archaeon
Lineage: Archaea
Description: bacterial SSU rRNA
Rfam family: Archaeal small subunit ribosomal RNA
Source: RNAcentral
UUGAUCCUGCCGGAGGCUACUGCUAUUGGAGUUCGAUUAAGCCAUGCGAGUCUGAGAGUCCUCGGGACUCGGCGUACCGCUCAGUAACACGUGGGUAACCUGCCCUAUGCUGGGGAAUAAACCUCGGGAAACUGAGAAUAAUGCCCCAUAGCCCACUACGCCUGGAACGGUGAGUGGGUCAAAGCUCCGGCGGCAUAGGAUGGGCCUGCGCCGUAUCAGGUUGUAGGGGGUGUAAAGUACCCUCUAGCCAUCAACGCGUACGGGUGUUGGGAGACAUUGCCCGGAGAUGGAUUCUGAGACACGAAUCCAGACCCUACGGGGUGCAGCAGGCGCGAAAACUUGGCAAUGCGAGAAAUCGUGACCAGUGAACUCCAAGUGCGUAGGGUAAGACCUACGCUUUUCUUGACUCUUCAAAGGUCUUGGAAUAAGGGGUGGGUAAGGACGGUGCCAGCCGCCGCGGUAAUACCGGCGCCUCAAGUGGUAGUCGCUUUUAUUGGGCCUAAAACGUCCGUAGCCGGUCUGGUGCAUUCGUGGGUAAAUCAACCCGCUCAACGGGUUGAAUUCUGCGAGCACGGCCAGACUUGGGACCGGGAGAGGUGUGGGGUACUCUCAGGGUAGGGGUAAAAUCCUGUCAUCCUGAGAGGACCACCUGUUGCGAAGGCGCCACACUAGAACGGAUCCGACGGUCGGGGACGAAACCUAGGGGCACGAACCGGAUUAGAUACCC